RNAcentral lists this ribosomal RNA (482 nucleotides) under uncultured bacterium. Its description in RNAcentral is "partial 16S ribosomal RNA". It matches the Rfam family "Bacterial small subunit ribosomal RNA", at positions 29 to 507 of the family's 1533-position model. The record is from RNAcentral.
AUUGAACGCUGGCGGCAUGCCUUACACAUGCAAGUCGAACGGUAACGGGCGUUAGGGGGACGAAGAGUGGCGGAAGGGAACGGAUGAGUAAGGAACGGGCAAGAUGGUGGGGGGUGAGGGGGCGAAAGCGGAGAUAAAACCGAAUACGGCAUAAGGAUGAAAGAAGCAGACCGCAAGGCUGAACGCGGCAGGAGCGGCCGUUGGCGGAUUAGGUAGUUGGUGGGAGAAAAGCGUACCAGGCCGACGAUCUGUAGCUGGUCUGAGAGGAUGAUCAGCCACACUGGGACUGAGACACGGCCCAGACUCCUACGGGAGGCAGCAGUGGGGAAUUUUGGACAAUGGGCGCAAGCCUGAUCCAGCCAUGCCGCGUGCAGGAUGAAGGCCUUCGGGUUGUAAACUGCUUUUGUACGGAACGAAAAGCCUUCUUUUAAUACAGGAGGGUCAUGACGGUACCGUAAGAAUAAGCACCGGCUAACUACGUG